UGUCCCUGCCAUCGCUGCCUCCUAAAAAAAAAUCUUUCUCCUUUUACUAAAGAUUUCCGUGUAGAGGAGCAUUUUAAUGAGUCUAACUCAAAUUUUCCAGGCCCUACUAAGUAGGGU
Molecule: non-coding RNA, 117 nt
Organism: Biomphalaria glabrata
Lineage: Eukaryota; Metazoa; Mollusca; Gastropoda; Planorbidae
Source: Rfam